Molecule: long non-coding RNA, 226 nt
Filed under: Panax ginseng (ginseng)
Lineage: Eukaryota; Viridiplantae; Streptophyta; Magnoliopsida; Apiales; Araliaceae
Description: long non-coding RNA (PGIN_LNC005274)
Source: RNAcentral
CAAGAAAUGCGACGACAGUUCGAGGCAGAUUUCAUGGUUGAAUCCUCUCAAGCCCAGGAAAAGCGUGAAGGAACAGAUGAAGGAGAAGGUGGUGAGGUUGUCGGGGUAACCAACCCAUCAAUGAAUUAAGAUUUCAUACCUUUUUUGCGAUGGGUCCAACUCAAGCAUCCUUGAAGAAUGUAUUGAACAUGGAAGCGAUCAAGUUAUGGCCAUAAGUGAAGACAUU